Molecule: ribosomal RNA, 470 nt
Filed under: uncultured bacterium
Lineage: Bacteria
Description: bacterial SSU rRNA
Rfam family: Bacterial small subunit ribosomal RNA
Source: RNAcentral
UGGGGAAUUUUGGACAAUGGGCGCAAGCCUGAUCCAGCCAUACCGCGUGAGUGAAGAAGGCCUUCGGGUUGUAAAGCUCUUUCAGACGGAAAGAAACGGUUACGGCUAAUACCCGUGACUAAUGACGGUACCGUAAGAAGAAGCACCGGCUAACUACGUGCCAGCAGCCGUGGUAAUACGUAGGGUGCGAGCGUUAAUCGGAAUUACUGGGCGUAAAGCGUGCGCAGGCGGUUUGGUAAGACAGAUGUGAAAUCCCCGGGCUUAACCUGGGAACUGCAUUUGUGACUGCCAGACUAGAGUGUAGCAGAGGGGGGUAGAAUUCCACGUGUAGCAGUGAAAUGCGUAGAUAUGUGGAGGAAUACCGAUGGCGAAGGCAGCCCCCUGGGCUAACACUGACGCUCAUGCACGAAAGCGUGGGGAGCAAACAGGAUUAGAUACCCACGUAGUCCCUGAGCGGGCUGGCAAGGCGC